AGUGAACGCUGGCGGUAGGCCUAACACAUGCAAGUCGAACGGCAGCACAGUAAGAGCUUGCUCUUACGGGUGGCGAGUGGCGGACGGGUGAGGAAUACAUCGGAAUCUACUUUUUCGUGGGGGAUAACGUAGGGAAACUUACGCUAAUACCGCAUACGACCUACGGGUGAAAGCAGGGGAUCUUCGGACCUUGCGCGAUUGAAUGAGCCGAUGUCGGAUUAGCUAGUUGGCGGGGUAAAGGCCCACCAAGGCGGCGAUCCGUAGCUGGUCUGAGAGGAUGAUCAGCCACACGGGAACUGAGACACGGUCCAGACUCCUACGGGAGGCAGCAGUGGGGAAUAUUGGACAAUGGGCGCAAGCCUGAUCCAGCCAUACCGCGUGGGUGAAGAAGGCCUUCGGGUUGUAAAGCCCUUUUGUUGGGAGAGAAAAGCAGCAGGUUAAUACCCCGCUGUUCUGACGGUACCCAAAGAAUAAGCACCGGCUAACUUCGUG
Molecule: ribosomal RNA, 492 nt
Filed under: uncultured bacterium
Lineage: Bacteria
Description: partial 16S ribosomal RNA
Rfam family: Bacterial small subunit ribosomal RNA
Source: RNAcentral